AGCGGCGAACGGGUGAGUAAUGCAUCGGAACGUGUCCCGGAGUGGGGGAUAACCCGGCGAAAGCCGGACUAAUACCGCAUAUGCUCUGAGGAGGAAAGUGGGGGACCUGAGAGGGCCUCAUGCUUUGGGAGCGGCCGAUGUCCGAUUAGCUAGUUGGUGGGGUAAAGGCUUACCAAGGCGACGAUCGGUAGCUGGUCUGAGAGGAUGAUCAGCCACACUGGGACUGAGACACGGCCCAGACUCCUACGGGAGGCAGCAGUGGGGAAUUUUGGACAAUGGGGGCAACCCUGAUCCAGCCAUGCCGCGUGCGGGAAGAAGGCCUUCGGGUUGUAAACCGCUUUUAGCUGGGAAGAAAAGACUCGGGCUAACACUCCGGGUUCUUGACGGUACCGGCGGAAUAAGCACCGGCUAACUACGUGCCAGCAGCCGCGGUAAUACGUAGGGUGCGAGCGUUAAUCGGAAUUACUGGGCGUAAAGCGUGCGCAGGCGGUUCGUUAAGUUUGUCGUGAAAGCCCCGGGCUCAACCUGGGAAUGGCGAUGAAAACUGGCGAGCUGGAGUGUGGCAGAGGGGGGUGGAAUUCCAGGUGUAGCAGUGAAAUGCGUAGAGAUCUGGAGGAACACCGAUGGCGAAGGCAGCCCCCUGGGCUGACACUGACGCUCAGGCACGAAAGCGUGGGGAGCAAACAGGAUUAGAUACCCU
Molecule: ribosomal RNA, 700 nt
Filed under: uncultured bacterium
Lineage: Bacteria
Description: bacterial SSU rRNA
Rfam family: Bacterial small subunit ribosomal RNA
Source: RNAcentral